This 605-nucleotide ribosomal RNA is filed under the name uncultured bacterium. RNAcentral describes it as "bacterial SSU rRNA". The stretch from base 1 to 519 matches the Rfam family "Bacterial small subunit ribosomal RNA", at positions 338 to 873 of the family's 1533-position model. The record is from RNAcentral.
CCUACGGGAGGCAGCAGUGGGGAAUAUUGGACAAUGGGCGAAAGCCUGAUCCAGCAAUGCCGCGUGAGUGAUGAAGGCCUUAGGGUUGUAAAGCUCUUUUACCAGGGAUGAUAAUGACAGUACCUGGAGAAUAAGCUCCGGCUAACUCCGUGCCAGCAGCCGCGGUAAUACGGAGGGAGCUAGCGUUGUUCGGAAUUACUGGGCGUAAAGAGUACGUAGGCGGUUAUUCAAGUCAGAGGUGAAAGCCCGGGGCUCAACCCCGGAACUGCCUUUGAAACUAGAUAGCUAGAGUCUUGGAGAGGUUAGUGGAAUUCCGAGUGUAGAGGUGAAAUUCGUAGAUAUUCGGAAGAACACCAGUGGCGAAGGCGACUAACUGGACAAGUACUGACGCUGAGGUACGAAAGCGUGGGGAGCAAACAGGAUUAGAUACCCUGGUAGUCCCACGACCGUAACGAUAGAUAACUAGUUGUUCGGUCGACUGUGUCGUGAGUGACGCAGCUACGCAUUAAGUUAUCCGUCCGUCGGGUAGGUACGGUCGCGAAGAAUUAAAACUAACAAAGGAAGUUAGACGCGUGAGACGNGCCGACGGACGACGACGAGGUAGG